Molecule: ribosomal RNA, 253 nt
Filed under: uncultured bacterium
Lineage: Bacteria
Description: partial 16S ribosomal RNA
Rfam family: Bacterial small subunit ribosomal RNA
Source: RNAcentral
UACGGAGGGUCCAAGCGUUAUCCGGAAUCAUUGGGUUUAAAGGGUCCGUAGGCGGUUUAGUAAGUCAGUGGUGAAAGCCCAUCGCUCAACGGUGGAACGGCCAUUGAUACUGCUAAACUUGAAUUAUUAGGAAGUAACUAGAAUAUGUAGUGUAGCGGUGAAAUGCUUAGAGAUUACAUGGAAUACCAAUUGCGAAGGCAGGUUACUACUAAUAUAUUGACGCUGAUGGACGAAAGCGUGGGUAGCGAACAGG